CAGUAGCCGCGGUAAUACGAAGGGUGCAAGCGUUACUCGGAAUUACUGGGCGUAAAGCGUGCGUAGGCGGUGAGUUAAGUCUGCUGUGAAAUCCCCGGGCUCAACCUGGGAAUGGCAGUGGAUACUGGCUCGCUAGAGUGUGUCAGAGGAUGGUGGAAUUCCCGGUGUAGCGGUGAAAUGCGUAGAGAUCGGGAGGAACAUCAGUGGCGAAGGCGGCCAUCUGGGACAACACUGACGCUGAGGCACGAAAGCGUGGGGAGCAAACAGGAUUAGAUACCCCCGUAGUCCCUGUCUCUUAUAA
Molecule: ribosomal RNA, 301 nt
Filed under: uncultured bacterium
Lineage: Bacteria
Description: partial 16S ribosomal RNA
Rfam family: Bacterial small subunit ribosomal RNA
Source: RNAcentral